Molecule: long non-coding RNA, 399 nt
Organism: Gadus chalcogrammus (walleye pollock)
Lineage: Eukaryota; Metazoa; Chordata; Actinopteri; Gadiformes; Gadidae
Exons: 3
Source: RefSeq, a predicted model, not a curated record
UGCUGCAACUUUGGAUGAACUUCUGAGCCCGAGCAGUCGAGAGGCGGACGUUGGAGUACCCAGACGAGUGUCAGUGAGGUGAAGAGACUCGAUGGUUAACGUAUACGUUCAGUCGUAUGUCUUCUUUUUAUUCAACACGGCUCCGUUCUUCGUGACCGUGGUAGCGCCCGAGCCUUUAGCCCCCGGACGGCGGCUCCGCAGUUGAACUUUUGCGAGAAGCCGAAAGGUGGAUAAAUAAAUAAAAGACCAAACGGCUGCAGAGCUGGUGAGCCGCCCAGAGUGAGGGAGUACCACCAACAGCGCCCCGAACGGUGGCCCUGAAGUGUCUUCUGGCCGCUCCUCCUUCCCCAUGAUGCUGGUCUUCACCUGAGCCCCUCUUCACCUCCAUCCCGACCAUCC